ACCCGCUGAACUUAAGCAUAUCAAUAAGCGGAGGAAAAGAAACCAACAGGGAUUGCCCCAGUAACGGCGAGUGAAGCGGCAACAGCUCAAAUUUGAAAGCUGGCUCCGUCCCCGGUGCCCGCGUUGUAAUUUGCAGAGGAUGCUUCUGGCGACGCGCCUUCCGAGUUCCCUGGAACGGGACGCCAAAGAGGGUGAGAGCCCCGUCCGGUCGUGCGCCUAGCCUCCGUGAAGCUCCUUCGACGAGUCGAGUAGUUUGGGAAUGCUGCUCAAAAUGGGAGGUAUACGUCUCCUAAAGCUAAAUACCGGCCAGAGACCGAUAGCGCACAAGUAGAGUGAUCGAAAGAUGAAAAGCACUUUGAAAAGAGAGUUAAACAGUACGUGAAAUUGUUGAAAGGGAAGCGCUCGUGGCCAGACUUGGGCCUGGCUCGAUCAUCCGGCGCUCGCCGCCGGUGCACUCGGGCCAGCCCAGGCCAGCAUCAGCUUCCGCCGGGGGACAAAGGCGGCGGGAAUGUGGCUCCCUAGGGAGUGUUAUAGCCCGCCGCGCAAUACCCCGGCCCGGGGGCUGAGGUUCGCGCGUCCGCACGGAUGCUGGCGUAAUGGUCAC
This 604-nucleotide ribosomal RNA is filed under the name uncultured fungus. RNAcentral's name for it is "eukaryotic LSU rRNA". It matches the Rfam family "Eukaryotic large subunit ribosomal RNA", at positions 23 to 641 of the family's 3401-position model. The record is from RNAcentral. Lineage: Eukaryota; Fungi.